UACGGGGGGGGCAAGCGUUGUUCGGAAUUACUGGGCGUAAAGGGUGCGUAGGCGGCCGUGCAAGUCUGGCGUGAAAGCCCCGGGCUCAGCCCGGGAAGUGCGCUCGAAACUGCGCGGCUCGAGUGCCGGAGGGGAGAGUGGAAUUCCUGGUGUAGCGGUGAAAUGCGUAGAUAUCAGGAGGAAUACCGGUGGCGAAAGCGACUCUCUGGACGGCAACUGACGCUGAGGCACGAAAGCGUGGGGAGCAAACAGG
Molecule: ribosomal RNA, 253 nt
Filed under: uncultured bacterium
Lineage: Bacteria
Description: partial 16S ribosomal RNA
Rfam family: Bacterial small subunit ribosomal RNA
Source: RNAcentral